GAUGAAGAACGCAGCGAAAUGCGAUAAGUAGUGUGAAUUGCAGAAUUCAGUGAAUCAUCGAAUCUUUGAACGCACAUUGCGCCCUUUGGUAUUCCUUAGGGCAUGCCUGUUCGAGCGUCAUUUAAACCUUCAAGCUCAGCUUGGUGAUGGGUGACUGUCCUCCCCUCGCGGGGGGACUCGCCUCAAAAACAUUGGCAGCCGGUACAUUGGCUUCGAGCGCAGCAGAAACGCGGUCUCGAGCCCGGUGGAUCGGCUCCCAUAAGUCUAUUCUUUUAUUUUGACCUCGGAUCAGGUAGGGAUACCCGCUGAACUUAAGCAUAUCAAUAAGCGGAGGA
Molecule: unclassified non-coding RNA, 335 nt
Filed under: soil metagenome
Description: partial contains 5.8S ribosomal RNA, internal transcribed spacer 2, and large subunit ribosomal RNA
Rfam family: 5.8S ribosomal RNA (bases 1-120)
Source: RNAcentral